UACAGAGGUCUCAAGCGUUGUUCGGAAUCACUGGGCGUAAAGCGCACGUAGGCGGAUGUGUCAGUCAGGGGUGAAAUCCCGGAGCUCAACUUCGGAACUGCCUCUGAUACAGCACGUCUUGAGUCCGGAAGAGGUGGGUGGAAUUCCUAGUGUAGAGGUGAAAUUCGUAGAUAUUAGGAAGAACACCGAUGGCGAAGGCGGCCCACUGGUCCGGUACUGACGCGAGGUGCGAAAGCGUGGGGAGCAAAACAGG
RNAcentral lists this ribosomal RNA (253 nucleotides) under uncultured bacterium. RNAcentral's name for it is "partial 16S ribosomal RNA". It matches the Rfam family "Bacterial small subunit ribosomal RNA", at positions 524 to 776 of the family's 1533-position model. The record is from RNAcentral.